AAGUCGUAACAAGGUAACCGUAGGUGAACCUGCGGUUGGAUCAUUAGUGGUUUUUACGCAGCGCUGUUGUAGUGUUUCUGGGGGGUGUUGGGGUUGGUCUUUGGUUUUGUUGUUGUUUGUCUUUUUGUUUGUCUGUUUUUGUGCAGUGCCUUGUGCGAUGUCUUGUGCCUUGCCUUGUGCAGUGCCUUGUGCAGUGCCUUGUGCGGUGCCUGGCAGUACAAACGAUCGACGGCAACACUCGGACCAGACCCAAGACCUUUACAGACAAUAGACGUCUUUGCUUGCUUUGAUGAAACCAAAUCAAAAACAACUUUUGACAACGGAUCUCUUGGCUCUC
Molecule: unclassified non-coding RNA, 337 nt
Filed under: fungal sp.
Lineage: Eukaryota; Fungi
Description: partial internal transcribed spacer region
Rfam family: Eukaryotic small subunit ribosomal RNA (bases 1-46)
Source: RNAcentral